GUAGGUGGCAAGCGUUGUCCGGGAAUUAUUGGGGCGUAAAGCGCGCGCAGGCGGUUCUUUAAGUCUGAUGUGAAAGCCCACGGGCUCAACCGUGGGAGGGUCAUUGGAAACUGGAGAGCUUGAGUACAGAAGAGGAAAGCGGAAUUCCACGUGUAGCGGUGAAAUGCGUAGAGAUGUGGAGGAACACCAGUGGCGAAGGCGGCUUUCUGGUCUGUAACUGACGCUGAGGCGCGAAAGCGUGGGGAGCAAACAGGAUUAGAUACCCUGGUAGUCCACGCCGUAAACGAUGAGUGCUAAGUGUUAGGGGGUUUCCGCCCCUUAGUGCUGCAGCUAACGCAUUAAGCACUCCGCCUGGGGAGUACGGCCGCAAAGGCUGA
RNAcentral lists this ribosomal RNA (377 nucleotides) under uncultured organism. RNAcentral's name for it is "partial 16S ribosomal RNA". It matches the Rfam family "Bacterial small subunit ribosomal RNA", at positions 527 to 897 of the family's 1533-position model. The record is from RNAcentral.